RNAcentral lists this non-coding RNA (102 nucleotides) under bovine gut metagenome. Its description in RNAcentral is "THF riboswitch". It matches the Rfam family "THF (Tetrahydrofolate) riboswitch aptamer". From Rfam's summary of the family: THF riboswitch presents a pseudoknot that joins P1-P2 and the loop of P3 and two THF binding. The record is from RNAcentral.
AGAGUAGAGCGCGCGCGUCGGGAUUUCCCGGUAGUGCCAUUGGAUGGGAGGUUGCCAAUGGACGAAAAGACUUCGGUCUUACGGUGUGCGCUUGCAGCCGCU